Populus trichocarpa (black cottonwood) is the source of this 156-nucleotide non-coding RNA. NCBI's taxonomy places the organism in Eukaryota, Viridiplantae, Streptophyta, Magnoliopsida, Malpighiales, Salicaceae. The record is from Rfam.
UCUACAACUCGAGAUAUGGGCUGAACACUGAAUAGUAUCUGGGCUACAGGACAGAUUCUGAUUUCUCUAUUGUUGUUACAAUUUGAACUUGAAAACGGUCCUUUUGAAUCUUGGACUCUUCAUGAAAGUUUUAGGCCUAUGUCUUAGCUUUCCAUA